This is a long non-coding RNA of Phyllostomus discolor (pale spear-nosed bat), 622 nucleotides long. RefSeq lists it as uncharacterized. The record is from RefSeq and is a predicted model, not a curated record. The transcript is spliced from 2 exons. NCBI's taxonomy places the organism in Eukaryota, Metazoa, Chordata, Mammalia, Chiroptera, Phyllostomidae.
CCACCACCCCAUCCCGCUAGUGCUGCCCUAGUCCUCUCCUCACUUGGGCACCAAGUUAGGUUGAUUCCUCCACUUUUCCACAUUGGCUCUUCACUGGAAUCUCAUGGGGAGCUAUAAAAUUACUCCUUAGAGAAUCUGAAUGAUUGGUCUAGGUAGUGGCCUGGAGGUUGGGCAUUUUAAAAACUCCCAGGUGUUUCCAGUGUUCAGCAAGGUGGAGAAACAUAAGGCCUGACUCCUGUGACUAAGGUUGUACCUGGGGAGGGGCCAGUCCCUAGAUCACACUGUGGUAGCACAGCUGAUCAUGUGUGUGACCAGGGCUCUGGUGGAGUUUGUCAAUUAAAGGAGAGCUAAGCACCAGUGCUGAGGGAUACCAGGGAGCCCUGGAGUAUGAGGAGCCAGGCCAGGAACUAAGGAAGAUGGGUGGGGUGGGAUUACUUGGUGUUCUAGUGAGGUCUCCAACUCCUGUAAUAGACCCACUCUAGUGCUAAACCAAACAAAGCUUUCACUUACUCCAAGAUGCCUUUGGUUGCAAGACGGUUUACUUCAUGUCAUUUAGAAAGAAAACCCAACCUAUAUGUCAUUGAUUAAAAGAUGCAUUCUGAGUUCAGAAAUGUUCAAAAGU